Molecule: non-coding RNA, 128 nt
Filed under: Sulfitobacter undariae
Lineage: Bacteria; Pseudomonadati; Pseudomonadota; Alphaproteobacteria; Rhodobacterales; Roseobacteraceae
Description: Ruegeria cis8 sRNA
Rfam family: Ruegeria cis8 sRNA
About the family: Cis-encoded. Targets hypothetical protein.
Source: Rfam by way of RNAcentral
AUCGACAGAACUUUGGCGAUGUAGGGGAUCAAGGGUAAAUUCAGGAUCAGAAGCACCAAGUUGCCAAUGAACAUGGACAUGAUCACAGCCCAGAAAAUCUGAGGCUCAUCAAUCAUCAAGCGCGGCCC